CAGUAGCCGCGGUAAUACGUAGGUGGCAAGCGUUGUCCGGAAUUAUUGGGCGUAAAGGGCUCGCAGGCGGUUUCUUAAGUCUGAUGUGAAAGCCCCCGGCUCAACCGGGGAGGGUCAUUGGAAACUGGGAAACUUGAGUGCAGAAGAUGAGAGUGGAAUUCCACGUGUAGCGGUGAAAUGCGUAGAGAUGUGGAGGAACACCAGUGGCGAAGGCGACUCUCUGGUCUGUAACUGACGCUGAGGAGCGAAAGCGUGGGGAGCGAACAGGAUUAGAUACCCGUGUAGUCCCUGUCUCUUAUAC
RNAcentral lists this ribosomal RNA (301 nucleotides) under uncultured bacterium. Its description in RNAcentral is "partial 16S ribosomal RNA". It matches the Rfam family "Bacterial small subunit ribosomal RNA", at positions 509 to 807 of the family's 1533-position model. The record is from RNAcentral.